AACGAAUCCGCCGUGGGGCCACUGUA
RNAcentral lists this non-coding RNA (26 nucleotides) under Cricetulus griseus (Chinese hamster). Lineage: Eukaryota; Metazoa; Chordata; Mammalia; Rodentia; Cricetidae. The record is from RNAcentral.